Molecule: ribosomal RNA, 200 nt
Filed under: uncultured bacterium
Lineage: Bacteria
Description: partial 16S ribosomal RNA
Rfam family: Bacterial small subunit ribosomal RNA
Source: RNAcentral
AUUGAACGCUGGCGGCAUGCCUUACACAUGCAAGUCGAACGGUAACAGGUCUUCGGAUGCUGACGAGUGGCGAACGGGUGAGUAAUACAUCGGAACGUGCCCGAUCGUGGGGGAUAACGGAGCGAAAGCUUUGCUAAUACUGCAUGCGAUCUACGGAUGAAAGCAGGGGACCGCAAGGCCUUGCGCGGACGGAGCGGCCG